RNAcentral lists this ribosomal RNA (251 nucleotides) under uncultured prokaryote. Its description in RNAcentral is "partial 16S ribosomal RNA". It matches the Rfam family "Bacterial small subunit ribosomal RNA", at positions 525 to 775 of the family's 1533-position model. The record is from RNAcentral.
ACGUAGGGUGCGAGCGUUAAUCGGAAUUACUGGGCGUAAAGCGUGCGCAGGCGGUUCGCUAAGACAGGUGUGAAAUCCCCGGGCUUAACCUGGGAAUGGCGCUUGUGACUGGCGGGCUGGAGUACGGCAGAGGGAAGUGGAAUUCCACGUGUAGCGGUGAAAUGCGUAGAGAUGUGGAGGAACACCAAUGGCGAAGGCAGCUUUCUGGGCUGAUACUGACGCUCAUGCACGAAAGCGUGGGGAGCAAACAG